RNAcentral lists this ribosomal RNA (460 nucleotides) under uncultured bacterium. RNAcentral's name for it is "partial 16S ribosomal RNA". It matches the Rfam family "Bacterial small subunit ribosomal RNA", at positions 338 to 795 of the family's 1533-position model. The record is from RNAcentral.
CCUACGGGAGGCAGCAGUGAGGAAUAUUGGUCAAUGGACGAGAGUCUGAACCAGCCAAGUAGCGUGAAGGAUGACUGCCCUAUGGGUUGUAAACUUCUUUUAUAUGGGAAUAAAAUGUUCCACGUGUGGGAUUUUGUAUGUACCAUAUGAAUAAGGAUCGGCUAACUCCGUGCCAGCAGCCGCGGUAAUACGGAGGAGCCGAGCGUUAUCCGGAUUUAUUGGGUUUAAAGGGAGCGUAGGUGGAUUGUUAAGUCAGUUGUGAAAGUUUGCGGCUCAACCGUAAAAUUGCAGUUGAAACUGGCAGUCUGGAGUACAUUAGAGGUGGGCGGAAUUCGUGGUGUAGCGGUGAAAUGCUUAGAUAUCACGAAGAACUCCGAUUGCGAAGGCAGCUCACUGGACUGCAACUGACACUGAGGCGCGAAAGUGUGGGUAUCAAACAGGAUUAGAUACCCCUGUAGUC